AGAGUUUGAUCCUGGCUCAGGAUGAACGCUGGCGGCGUGCUUAACACAUGCAAGUCGAACGAUCCUUCGGGAUAGUGGCGGACGGGUGAGUAACGCGUGGGAAUCUGCCCUCAGGAGGGGGAUAACGGCUGGAAACGGCCGCUAAUACCCCAUAUGCCGAGAGGUGAAAUGAAUUUCGCCUGAGGAUGAGCCCGCGUCUGAUUAGCUAGUUGGUGGGGUAAAGGCCUACCAAGGCAACGAUCAGUAGCUGGUCUGAGAGGAUGAUCAGCCACACUGGGACUGAGACACGGCCCAGACUCCUACGGGAGGCAGCAGUGGGGAAUUUUCCGCAAUGGGCGAAAGCCUGACGGAGCAACGCCGCGUGAGGGAUGAAGGCCUCUGGGCUGUAAACCUCUUUUCUCAAGGAAGUAGACCUGACGGUACUUGAGGAAUAAGCCACGGCUAAUUCCGUGCCAGCAGCCGCGGUAAUACGGGAGUGGCAAGCGUUAUCCGGAAUUAUUGGGCGUAAAGCGUCCGCAGGCGGCCUUGUAAGUCUGUUGUUAAAGCGUGGAGCUCAACUCCAUUUAAGCAAUGGAAACUACAAGGCUGGAGUGUGGUAGGGGCAGAGGGAAUUCCCGGUGUAGCGGUGAAAUGCGUAGAUAUCGGGAAGAACACCAGUGGCGAAGGCGCUCUGCUGGGCCAUAACUGACGCUCAUGGACGAAAGCCAGGGGAGCGAAAGGGAUUAGAUACCCCUGUAGUCCUGGCCGUAAACGAUGAACACUAGGUGUCGGGGGAAUCGACCCCCUCGGUGUCGUAGCCAACGCGUUAAGUGUUCCGCCUGGGGAGUACGCACGCAGGUGUGAAACUCAAAGGAAUUGACGGGGGCCCGCACAAGCGGUGGAGUAUGUGGUUUAAUUCGAUGUAACGCGAAGAACCUUACCAGGGUUUGACAUCCUGCGAACCCCUGAGAAAUCGGGGGGUGCCUUCGGGAGCGCAGAGACAGGUGGUGCAUGGCUGUCAUCAGCUCGUGUCGUGAGAUGUUGGGUUAAGUCCCGCAACGAGCGCAACCCACGUCUUUAGUUGCCAGCAUUCAGUUGGGCACUCUAGAGAGACCGCCGGUGAUAAACCGGAGGAAGGUGUGGAUGACGUCAAGUCAUCAUGCCCCUUACAUCCUGGGCUACACACGUACUACAAUGCUACGGACAAAGGGCAGCAAGCUCGCGAGAGUUAGCAAAUCCCAUAAACCGUGGCUCAGUUCAGAUCGUAGGCUGCAACUCGCCUACGUGAAGGAGGAAUCGCUAGUAAUCGCAGGUCAGCAUACUGCGGUGAAUACGUUCCCGGGCCUUGUACACACCGCCCGUCACACCAUGGAAGUUGGCCAUGCCCGAAGUCGUUACUCCAACCCUUGUGGAGGAGGACGCCGAAGGUGGGGCUGAUGACUGGGGUGAAGUCGUAACAAGGUA
This 1443-nucleotide ribosomal RNA is filed under the name metagenome. Its description in RNAcentral is "bacterial SSU rRNA". It matches the Rfam family "Bacterial small subunit ribosomal RNA". The record is from RNAcentral.